AGAACGAACGCUGGCGGCAGGCUUAACACAUGCAAGUCGAGCGCCCCGCAAGGGGAGCGGCAGACGGGUGAGUAACGCGUGGGAAUCUACCCAUCUCUACGGAAUAACGCAUGGAAACGUGUGCUAAUACCGUAUACGUCCUUCGGGAGAAAGAUUUAUCGGAGAUGGAUGAGCCCGCGUUGGAUUAGCUA
Molecule: ribosomal RNA, 191 nt
Filed under: uncultured soil bacterium
Lineage: Bacteria
Description: partial 16S ribosomal RNA
Rfam family: Bacterial small subunit ribosomal RNA
Source: RNAcentral